RNAcentral lists this long non-coding RNA (3050 nucleotides) under Homo sapiens (human). Its description in RNAcentral is "HSALNT0323025". Lineage: Eukaryota; Metazoa; Chordata; Mammalia; Primates; Hominidae. The record is from RNAcentral.
GUCUCUAGCAAUUACCUUCAUGGUUUUCUGCCAGAGGCUAUUUUUUUCCAAGGGAAAACUUCCCAUUUGUUUUUUGUAUUUUUAAAGUGUGUGUGUGCGUGUUUGCUCUUUGUGCUAAGGGUACAUGUUCAGCAGAAGGAAUUGGCAGGAGCACACGCUCCCUCUCUCUCUCACUUUGCAUGCUUGACCCUGAGACCUUGUGUUCUCCUGAAGCCUCUGCCACGCAAUCUCUUCCAUCUUCUUCCUGUCUGAUGAUUUCCCCUGGACUCUCCCAUGGGCAUUUUUAUGUCAAUAGAUUGGAAUGUUUCUCUCCUCACUGGGAAAAGCUCCUUUGGUCUCAGUGAACUCAGAGGUGGAGAAAGUCAUAAGAAUCAGGGAGCCUGCCCCAAAUUGCCUCCUAUGAUAACUUUCCACAAAGACUGGAGGGGAGGCUUCAAACAUCUUCCUGCAGUGUCCAGCAAGACAGCGAGGCAGACUCCCUUUCUCCUGCCAAAGCCACGUGGAGCCAGACAGAACCACAAGCAUACCUGUGGUGCUUGGAGGCCCAAGUAGAAACUUGAAUGCUCACGGCUGCAUUGGCAGCUUCUACUUGCCUGCCUGGAUCACCGUUCCUCAUGAGAACUUGGAAAAGCAGGACUAUCAUUCUUGCUUGACAGACGAAGAAACCAAGCCUCAGGACUGCGUGCAAUUCUACUUGGAGAUCUUCAUAACACCUUAAGGGAAAAAUCCUUUUUGAAAGAAAAACAAGUCUGGGUGGUGCUUGAAAAUUCAGAAGGCAGCUAGAAACUCUGCCAAUUACAACUUGGUGCUUCGUGAACCCUGGAUGCUACAGUCUCUGGCCACAGCACUAAAUGUAUGCUGAGAUCUGGCUUCACGGUCGAGGGUGUUGCUGGUUUUCAAUGUGCCUGACAUAGGAUCAAUGGUGAAUGCACCAGAAGCCUCAUCAGUCAGAAAAUACUCAGUUUGCCCAUUCAGGCCUUCAUCCUUGUCCACAGCUGAAAGCACAAGAACCACUGUUCCCACUUCAGCAUCUUCUCUCACAGAGGACUGGUAAUAAAGUGUGGGAAAAGAAGGACUGUGGUCAUUGGCAUCCAAAACUCUAACUUGCAGGUGUAUUACAGAGCUCCUAGGUGGAUCUCCCAGGUCAGAGCACAGAAUGACAAGGGUAAAAUUGCUGAUUUGCUCCCGGUCCAAAGCACGAGUGGUUGAGAGUUCUCCUGACAUCUCAUUUAUAGUAAAGCACUCAUCAGUAUUUCCAUCUAUUAAAGAAAACAAUUACAAAUUCAUUUGAAUUGAAAAAGUAGCAGCUCUUUGCUAGCACUAUCUAUGGUAUUCAUUUAUACAUUCAUUAAAAAUAUAUUUAUUCCCGAUUAUAUUGUAUCCUAGCACUUUUGUAAAUAUUGGGGAUAUAACAGUAAGCAUGAUAAAGGCUCUGCCCUCAUGAAACUUCUAUUGAGGGGAUAAACAGAAUAAUAUGAUUCAAUGCCUAUCUUUAAUCAGUCAAUAAUUAGAACACUUGCUUUCACUAAUUUGCAGCCGUAUGAUUUUUUGUGUGCAUCUACAACUUUUAAUUUUAAUAUAUUUUUCCUCAUAAGAGGAUGAAGAUAUAUGUUUUAUUUAACACAAAACAAUAGAUGAGGAUAAAAAAAACAGAAUAUAAUGUCCUUUUUUAAGAUAUCAAUCAGAAAUGAACAGAUUUGAUUUGUAGUUAUUUUCUCAAAUAGUACCCACUACAGUAUUCAUGCCUGUUAUACUAUUGCAGUAAGCCUUCUCUUCUACAUGUCCACAGCAUUUUGUACAAGAAUCAUAACACUUUGGUUAGAGUUAGUUGGACACUUGACUAUUUCUUCCAAAACAUAAAUAAGGACAUUGUUCUAUUCAUCUAUUCCUUAAAAAAAAUCUGCCCUUUAUUAUAUUCCAUCGUAUCAAGUAGAAUAAAACUUAAAAUUGAACACAGGGACAAAAAGCUUUCAAAGACAUUUUUAAAUAACCCUGAAAAUUAGUGAAGAAAAAUGUGGUUCAUAUGCUUGCCAGCCAUAUUCUUGGAUGAAGAGCAGGCCCAAUAGUGUGGGAACUUACUAGAGUCUGCAUAUCAGAGGCAUAUGAGGACCAAGUGGAAUGGCAUUCAAAGGAAACAACAGCAAUAGGUAGCUUUAGGGAGGAGGAGAGGGCCCUGCAUUUGUAUUCAUGAGGAACAGUUAAUUUACACCAAAAGUAGAGAUGAUUGGACAAACCCACAUUUCUGUAGUAUUUGUGGCUGAUAAAGUGAUUCAGUCAUUCAGCAAACAUUUGAUGAGCAUCUACUAUGUGCCAAGUUUGUGCUCAAGAUCACAGAUAUGAAGGGAGUAAGACAUGACCUAGCUCCAAGAGUUCACAGUCUAAAAGGAAAGGCUGGUCAAUACUCGGGUAUUAAAGUACCAUGUGAAAAUCAUAUGUACAGAGUGCUAAAUGAGUACAUAUAGAUAGUGCUAGCCAAGGGGUGCUAUUUCUCUGAGAAGUACAGAGAAAGGGCACAUAGUCCUAUGUUAGUAAGUUCAAGAAAUGCUUAUUGGAAAAAGUGACAUCAAAUCUCACUCCUAAAGUGGAGAAAGCCAUACUACAAGUUUUGGGGAGAGUGUUCUAUGCAGAGGAAAGAGCCCGUGGGAAGUUCUAGGAAUAUAAGAAUUAACAGGCUGCAAAUGUUUGGGUGUGACUAGUACACAGGGUUCCUGGGUGUUUGUAUGUGGCAAGUAGGAAAAGGGCUGGCAGUAGCGGUAGAGGAAAGACAUGAAUUUGGGAGGUAAGCAGGGGGUCAAAUUGUGAAGGGCUCUCUGUAUACUGCUGAAGAUUCUAUAGUUUCUCCUGAAAUCCAUGAGGGAGCCCCCUGAAGGAUUUUGGACAGGAAAGUGUCAUGAAUCAAAUUUCUAUUUUAAGAAUAGUAUCGAGGCAGCAAUGUCAAAGUUUGUUUAGAAAAUAGGAUGGUUCCUGUAAUCCCAGAACUUUUGGAGACCAAGGCGGGAGGAUUGCUUGAGUCCAGGAAUUUGAGUCCAGCCUGGGCAACAUAGUGAGAC